GCACCCCGGAUAUCGCACACAAAACACAGUCCCUGCUGCUGCUCUUGUCCUCACUCCUGAGGCCGCUCUCUUACUCUUCUCGUCUCCAUCUCUCCCCGAAUUAAGAGCACACUCAAGGGAUCUCUAGCUAUUUCCUUCUUCUAUCACUGCUCGCCGUGAACUGGUUUGGUCUUCUUCUAACGCGGCGGCAAGCUCACCACUCACCAUGGAGGCGCCGUUGCUGGUGGCUGCGCUAGUGCUCCUGUCCUCCACUCUCGCCGCCUCUGAUUUCUGCGUGUGCAGGUCAGAUCAGCCCCAGGCGGCGCUGCAGAAGACCAUCGACUACGCGUGCGGGGCAGGGGCCGACUGCAACUUCAUCCACGAGCAGGGGCCGUGCUACAACCCCAACACCGUCGUCGCGCACUGCUCCUGGGCGGCCAACAGUUACUUCCAGAGGAAAAGGGGAACCGGAGCCACCUGCGACUUCACCGGCACCGCCACCCUCACCACCACCGACCCAAGUUCUUCAGGCUGCUCCUACCCCUCAAGUGCAAGCGGAGCUGGAACAUCAACGACUGGGGCUGGGAUUGGGACCGGAGGAGCAACCGGGGGAACCCCAGGCACAGGCACAGGCACAGGCACGUUCACGCCCGGCGCCGGUACCGGCACUGGCAUGGGUACCACUGGGACUACAGGCACCGCCGGGUUCGGCGGCCUAGGUCCGACAGGCACGAGCAACAUGGACACCGCAGCGGCGGCCUCGCACCAUCCAAUGGCUGGACCGGUUGCCUUCCUCUCAGCUCUUCUCUCCCUCCUGGCAUUCGCGUGAAGUUCGAUCACCCGAAUUGGCUGGAAGUAAGAGAUGUCUUGCCUUUCUGGUAAGCUUGUUACUGUCAUAGUGUGAGGACAAUGGAAGAAAAACCUGAUCCUUCUGAAGGUGUCGUCCUGUCCAAAACCCCACUAGUUCAUUGUCCUGUUUGGUUUCAGUGGCAUGCAUGGUGUAAUUUGGUAGGAUGGUUGUCACUUUCUUGCAAGGACGCGCGCGCUCUCUCUCUCUCUGUUCCUCUUGUAAAUCUAGGGGAACAAUUAGCAGGUUAGUAGAUCAAGGUUGGUCGGUGCGGGAGUGUUGUUGGGACAAUGGCAUUAUGGCGAUACUGAUAUUACCAGCUUGGCAGCUUAUGAUC
RNA transcript from Lolium rigidum, 1163 nucleotides. It is a transcript of the gene named PLASMODESMATA CALLOSE-BINDING PROTEIN 3-like, with no coding region annotated. The record is from RefSeq and is a predicted model, not a curated record. The transcript is spliced from 6 exons. NCBI's taxonomy places the organism in Eukaryota, Viridiplantae, Streptophyta, Magnoliopsida, Poales, Poaceae.